GACGAACGCUGGCGGCGUGCCUAAUACAUGCAAGUUGAGCGCUGAAGGUUGGUACUUGUACCAACUGGAUGAGCAGCGAACGGGUGAGUAACGCGUGGGGAAUCUGCCUUUGAGCGGGGGACAACAUUUGGAAACGAAUGCUAAUACCGCAUAAAAACUUUAAACACAAGUUUUAAGUUUGAAAGAUGCAAUUGCAUCACUCAAAGAUGAUCCCGCGUUGUAUUAGCUAGUUGGUGAGGUAAAGGCUCACCAAGGCGAUGAUACAUAGCCGACCUGAGAGGGUGAUCGGCCACAUUGGGACUGAGGCACGGCCCAAACUCCUACGGGAGGCAGCAGUAGGGAAUCUUCGGCAAUGGACGAAAGUCUGACCGAGCAACGCCGCGUGAGUGAAGAAGGGUUUCGGAUCGUAAAACUCUGUUGGUAGAGAAGAACGUUGGUGAGAGUGGAAAGCUCAUCAAGUGACGGUAACUACCCAGAAAGGGACGGCUAACUACGUG
This 497-nucleotide ribosomal RNA is filed under the name uncultured bacterium. RNAcentral's name for it is "partial 16S ribosomal RNA". It matches the Rfam family "Bacterial small subunit ribosomal RNA", at positions 28 to 507 of the family's 1533-position model. The record is from RNAcentral.